UGCAGUCGAACGGCAGCACGGACUUCGGUCUGGUGGCGAGUGGCGAACGGGUGAGUAAUGUAUCGGAACGUGCCCAGUAGCGGGGGAUAACUACGCGAAAGCGUAGCUAAUACCGCAUACGCCCUACGGGGGAAAGCAGGGGAUCGCAAGACCUUGCACUAUUGGAGCGGCCGAUAUCGGAUUAGCUAGUUGGUGGGGUAACGGCUCACCAAGGCGACGAUCCGUAGCUGGUUUGAGAGGACGACCAGCCACACUGGGACUGAGACACGGCCCAAACUCCUACGGGAGGCAGCAGUGGGGAAUUUUGGACAAUGGGGGAAACCCUGAUCCAGCCAUCCCGCGUGUGCGAUGAAGGCCUUCGGGUUGUAAAGCACUUUUGGCAGGAAAGAAACGUCGCGGGUUAAUACCCCGCGAAACUGACGGUACCUGCAGAAUAAGCACCGGCUAACUACGUGCCAGCAGCCGCGGUAAUACGUAGGGUGCAAGCGUUAAUCGGAAUUACUGGGCGUAAAGCGUGCGCAGGCGGUUCGGAAAGAAAGAUGUGAAAUCCCAGAGCUUAACUUUGGAACUGCAUUUUUAACUACCGGGCUAGAGUGUGUCAGAGGGAGGUGGAAUUCCGCGUGUAGCAGUGAAAUGCGUAGAUAUGCGGAGGAACACCGAUGGCGAAGGCAGCCUCCUGGGAUAACACUGACGCUCAUGCACGAAAGCGUGGGGAGCAAACAGGAUUAGAUACCCUGGUAGUCCACGCCCUAAACGAUGUCAACUAUCUGUUGGGGCCUUCGGGCCUUGGUAGCGCAGCUAACGC
Molecule: ribosomal RNA, 805 nt
Filed under: Achromobacter xylosoxidans
Lineage: Bacteria; Pseudomonadati; Pseudomonadota; Betaproteobacteria; Burkholderiales; Alcaligenaceae
Description: bacterial SSU rRNA
Rfam family: Bacterial small subunit ribosomal RNA
Source: RNAcentral